RNAcentral lists this ribosomal RNA (253 nucleotides) under uncultured bacterium. RNAcentral describes it as "partial 16S ribosomal RNA". It matches the Rfam family "Bacterial small subunit ribosomal RNA", at positions 524 to 776 of the family's 1533-position model. The record is from RNAcentral.
UACGUAGGCAGCAAGCGUUGUUCGGAGUUAUUGGGCGUAAAGGGUGCGUAGGCGGCUUUUUAAGUUUGGUGUGAAAUCUCCCGGCUCAACUGGGAGGGUGCGCCGAAUACUGAGAGGCUAGAGUGCGGGAGAGGAAAGUGGAAUUCCUGGUGUAGCGGUGAAAUGCGUAGAUAUCAGGAGGAACACCGGUGGUGUAAACGGCUUUCUGGACCGUAACUGACGCUGAGGCACGAAAGCGUGGGUAGCAAACAGG